RNAcentral lists this ribosomal RNA (372 nucleotides) under uncultured organism. Its description in RNAcentral is "bacterial SSU rRNA". It matches the Rfam family "Bacterial small subunit ribosomal RNA", at positions 526 to 896 of the family's 1533-position model. The record is from RNAcentral.
CGUAGGUGGCAAGCGUUACUCGGAAUUACUAGGCGUAAAGCGCAGGUAGGUGGUUGGGUAAGUCUGCAAUGAAAUCUCCCGGCUUAACUGGGAGGGGUUUGUAGAUACUGCUUGACUCGAGUGUGGGAGAGGUAACUGGAAUUCCAGGUGUAGCGGUGAAAUGCGUAGAUAUCUGGAGGAACACCAAUGGCGAAAGCAGGUCACAGGCCCAAUACUGACGCUGAGCUGCGAAAGCUAGGGGAGCAAACAGGAUUAGAUACCCUGGUAGUCCUAGCCAUAAACGAUGUAGACCAGAUGUGGGGGGUAUCGACCCCCUCCGCGUCGACGCUAACGCAUUAAGUCUACCGCCUGGGGAGUACGGCCGCAAGGUUG